Molecule: ribosomal RNA, 301 nt
Filed under: uncultured bacterium
Lineage: Bacteria
Description: partial 16S ribosomal RNA
Rfam family: Bacterial small subunit ribosomal RNA
Source: RNAcentral
CAGCCGCCGCGGGAAUACGAAGGGUGCAAGCGUUACUCGGAAUUACUGGGCGUAAAGCGUGCGUAGGUGGUGGUUUAAGUCCGUUGUGAAAGCCCUGGGCUCAACCUGGGAAUUGCAGUGGAUACUGGGUCACUAGAGUGUGGUAGAGGAUUGUGGAAUUUCCGGUGUAGCAGUGAAAUGCGUAGAGAUCGGAAGGAACAUCUGUGGCGAAGGCGACUAUCUGGGCCAACACUGACACUGAGGCACGAAAGCGUGGGGAGCAAACAGGAUUAGAUACCCCGGUAGUCCCUGUCUCUUAUAC